GAUGAAGAACGUAGCGAAAUGCGAUAAGUAAUGCGAAUUGCAGAAUUUCCGUGAAUCAUCGAAUCUUUGAACGCACAUUGCGUCCGCCAGUAUUCUGGCGGGCAUGCCUGUUCGAGCGUCAUUUCAACCCUCAGGUCCCCCUUUUCGGAGGGGGAGACACCCUGGUGUUGGGGGACGGCAUCCUGGCCCGCUGUCUCACAGUGUGCCACGCCGCCCCCGAAAUGAAUUGGCGGCCUCGUCGCGUGCCACCCCUGCGUAGUAGCACAACCUCGCAACGGGAGCCCGACGCGGCCACUGCCGUAAAACGCCCAACUUUUACCGAGUUGACCUCGAAUCAGGUAGGAAUACCCGCUGAACUUAAGCAUAUCAAUAAGCGGAGGA
RNAcentral lists this unclassified non-coding RNA (381 nucleotides) under soil metagenome. Its description in RNAcentral is "partial contains 5.8S ribosomal RNA, internal transcribed spacer 2, and large subunit ribosomal RNA". The stretch from base 1 to 121 matches the Rfam family "5.8S ribosomal RNA", at positions 35 to 154 of the family's 154-position model. The record is from RNAcentral.